GGCGAGUGANCGGCAACAGCUCAAAUUUGAAAGCUAGCCUUCGGGUUCGCAUUGUAAUUUGUAGAGGAUGAUUUGGGGAAGCCGCCUGUCUAAGUUCCUUGGAACAGGACGUCAUAGAGGGUGAGAAUCCCGUAUGUGACAGGAAAUGGCACCCUAUGUAAAUCUCCUUCGACGAGUCGAGUUGUUUGGGAAUGCAGCUCUAAAUGGGAGGUAAAUUUCUUCUAAAGCUAAAUAUUGGCGAGAGACCGAUAGCGCACAAGUAGAGUGAUCGAAAGAUGAAAAGCACUUUGGAAAGAGAGUUAAAAAGCACGUGAAAUUGUUGAAAGGGAAGCGCUUGCAAUCAGACUUGUUUAAACUGUUCGGCCGGUCUUCUGACCGGUUUACUCAGUUUGGACAGGCCAGCAUCAGUUUCGGCGGCCGGAUAAAGGCUCUGGGAAUGUGGCCUCCACUUCGGUGGAGGUGUUAUAGCCCAGGGUGUAAUACGGCCAGCCGGGACUGAGGUCCGCGCUUCGGCUAGGAUGCUGGCGUAAUGGUUGUAAGCGACCCGUCUUGNANCACG
Molecule: ribosomal RNA, 559 nt
Filed under: Aureobasidium pullulans
Lineage: Eukaryota; Fungi; Ascomycota; Dothideomycetes; Dothideales; Saccotheciaceae
Description: eukaryotic LSU rRNA
Rfam family: Eukaryotic large subunit ribosomal RNA
Source: RNAcentral